UACGUAGGGGGCAAGCGUUGUCCGGAAUUACUGGGCGUAAAGCGUGCGCAGGCGGUUCGUUGUGUCGGCGGGGAAAGCCCCGGGCUUAACCUGGGAAUGGCCGUUGAAACUGGCGAACUGGAGUGUGGCAGAGGGGGGUGGAAUUCCGCGUGUAGCAGUGAAAUGCGUAGAGAUGCGGAGGAACACCGAUGGCGAAGGCAGCCCCCUGGGCUAACACUGACGCUCAGGCACGAAAGCGUGGGGAGCAAACAGG
This 253-nucleotide ribosomal RNA is filed under the name uncultured bacterium. RNAcentral's name for it is "partial 16S ribosomal RNA". It matches the Rfam family "Bacterial small subunit ribosomal RNA", at positions 524 to 776 of the family's 1533-position model. The record is from RNAcentral.